RNAcentral lists this non-coding RNA (148 nucleotides) under Heyndrickxia sporothermodurans. RNAcentral's name for it is "Bacillus sporothermodurans FMN sequence". It matches the Rfam family "FMN riboswitch aptamer (RFN element)". From Rfam's summary of the family: The RFN element is a highly conserved domain that is found frequently in the 5'-untranslated regions of prokaryotic mRNAs that encode for flavin mononucleotide (FMN) biosynthesis and transport proteins. This element is a metabolite-dependent riboswitch that directly binds FMN in the absence of proteins. The record is from Rfam by way of RNAcentral. Lineage: Bacteria; Bacillati; Bacillota; Bacilli; Caryophanales; Bacillaceae.
AAUAUCCUUCGGGGCAGGGUGAAAUUCCCUACCGGCGGUGAUGAAGCAGCAAUGCUUCUUAGUCCGUGACCCGGUUAACAAUUGUUAAACGGUGGAUCUGGUGAAACUCCAGAGCCGACAGUUAAAGUCUGGAUGGGAGAAGGAAAAA